GGGGCUGUGCUCGAAAGAGAACCUGCACACAGGUGCCGCAUGGCUGUCGUCAGCUCGUGUCGUGAGAUGUUGGGUUAAGUCCCGCAACGAGCGCAACCCUUGCCAUCAGUUGCUACGAAAGGGCACUCUGAUGGGACUGCCGGUGACAAACCGGAGGAAGGUGGGGAUGACGUCAAGUCCUCAUGGCCCUUAUAGGUGGGGCUACACACGUCAUACAAUGGCCGGUACAAAGGGCAGCCAACCCGCGAGGGGGAGCCAAUCCCACAAAGCCGGUCGUAGUCCGGAUCGCAGUCUGCAACUCGACUGCGUGAAGUCGGAAUCGCUAGUAAUCGUGGAUCAGCAUGUCACGGUGAAUACGUUCCCGGGUCUU
Molecule: ribosomal RNA, 370 nt
Filed under: uncultured Allobrachymonas sp.
Lineage: Bacteria; Pseudomonadati; Pseudomonadota; Betaproteobacteria; Burkholderiales; Comamonadaceae
Description: bacterial SSU rRNA
Rfam family: Bacterial small subunit ribosomal RNA
Source: RNAcentral